CAAGUCGUGCGCGAAGGUGGCUUCGGCCACCGGAGAGCGGCGGACGGGUGAGUAACACGUGGGUAAUCUGCCUAGGAGUGGGGAAUAACCUGGGGAAACUCGGGCUAAUACCGCAUACGUCGUCGGGACUGCGGUCCCGGCAAGAAAGCUGGCCUCUGCUUGCAUGCUAGCGCUCCUAGAGGAGCCCGCGGCUGAUUAGCUAGUUGGUGAGGUAAUGGCUCACCAAGGCGACGAUCAGUAGCCGGCCUGAGAGGGUGAACGGCCACACUGGGACUGAGACACGGCCCAGACUCCUACGGGAGGCAGCAGUGGGGAAUAUUGGACAAUGGGCGAAAGCCUGAUCCAGCAACGCCGCGUGGAGGACGAAGGUCUUCGGAUCGUAAACUCCUGUCAGAUGGGACGAAUGGACGUCGGUAAAUAGUCGACGUCUUUGACGGUACCGUCAGAGGAAGCCCCGGCUAACUCCGUGCCAGCAGCCGCGGUAAUACGGAGGGGGCGAGCGUUAUUCGGAAUUAUUGGGCGUAAAGGGCGCGUAGGUGGCCCUGUAAGUCAAAGGUGAAAUCCCUCGGCUCAACCGAGGAAUUGCCCUUGAAACUGCAGGGCUUGAGGCCGGGAGGGGGUAGCGGAAUUCCCAGUGUAGCGGUGAAAUGCGUAGAUACUGGGAGGAACACCGGUGGCGAAGGCGGCUACCUGGACCGGUUCUGACACUGAUGCGCGAAAGCGUGGGUAGCAAACAGGAUUAGAUACCCUGGUAGUCCACGCUGUAAACGAUGGGUGCUCGGUGUCGCGGGUAUCGACCCCUGCGGUGCCUUA
RNAcentral lists this ribosomal RNA (813 nucleotides) under uncultured Bacillota bacterium. Its description in RNAcentral is "bacterial SSU rRNA". It matches the Rfam family "Bacterial small subunit ribosomal RNA", at positions 58 to 850 of the family's 1533-position model. Lineage: Bacteria; Bacillati; Bacillota. The record is from RNAcentral.